GCCGCGGUAGUGUAGCCAGACGAUUUCGGGUUAAGUCAAGCAUAGGAGGCUCUCGACCUUCUGACGGGGGUUCGAAGCAAGAACUAACUAAAAAGCGAAAAUCCCCCCCGCGGCACCA
RNAcentral lists this transfer RNA (118 nucleotides) under Candidatus Wukongarchaeum yapensis. RNAcentral describes it as "tRNA-Glu". The record is from RNAcentral. RNAcentral also lists the same sequence under 2 other names. Lineage: Archaea; Promethearchaeati; Candidatus Wukongarchaeota; Candidatus Wukongarchaeia; Candidatus Wukongarchaeales; Candidatus Wukongarchaeaceae.